This 257-nucleotide ribosomal RNA is filed under the name uncultured bacterium. RNAcentral describes it as "partial 16S ribosomal RNA". It matches the Rfam family "Bacterial small subunit ribosomal RNA", at positions 28 to 279 of the family's 1533-position model. The record is from RNAcentral.
GACGAACGCUGGCGGCGUGCUUAACACAUGCAAGUCGAGCGGUAAGGCCCUUUCGGGGGUACACGGAGCGGCGAACGGGUGAGUAACACGUGGGUGACCUGCCCUCAGCUCUGGGAUAAGCCGUGGGAAACCGUGGGUCGUAAUACCGGAUAUGACUCCCAUGACGGCAUGUUGUGGGGUGGAAAGCCUUGUGCGGCUGGGGAUGGGCCCGCGGCCUAUCAGCUUGUUGGUGGGGUGAUGGCCUACCAAGGCGACGA